This 253-nucleotide ribosomal RNA is filed under the name uncultured bacterium. RNAcentral's name for it is "partial 16S ribosomal RNA". It matches the Rfam family "Bacterial small subunit ribosomal RNA", at positions 524 to 776 of the family's 1533-position model. The record is from RNAcentral.
UACGUAGGGACCAAGCGUUGUUCGGAUUUACUGGGCGUAAAGGGCGCGUAGGCGGCCAUUCAAGUCACUUGUGAAAUCUCCGAGCUUAACUCGGAACGGUCAAGUGAUACUGUCUUGCUAGAGUGCAGAAGGGGCAAUCGGAAUUCUUGGUGUAGCGGUGAAAUGCGUAGAUAUCAAGAGGAACACCUGAGGUGAAGACGGGUUGCUGGGCUGACACUGACGCUAAGGCGCGAAAGCUAGGGUAGCAAACGGG